CCUCGUCACUACUAAAAUUCUUCUCAUUUUUCUUCGCCGACAGGUGAUUGGAAAAUAUGUCGUUUUGCUUUUCCUCUCUUUCUUUCCAUAUGACUGAAAGGUGUCGAAUUCUCCAUACGUGACGAGUCUGGCGACAUAGCUAAAUUUCCACCCCUGCCUUCUUUGUAAACUUUAAUAUACAUAUAUAUAUCGUAAACCACAUGAUACAUUUGGUGCAUUGGGUGGAGCUAGAGACCUCGUAACCAAUCUCUCCAAAAAUCAAGUUUUAUUUUCUUUCACUGCGAAUCUCUCAUAAGUAGCAGCUGUAAUAAAGAGCAAGCAGAUCAUGUAAAGGCAUGAGGAUGGUGUGUUUGAUGCGCAGUAGGAUAAAGAAUAGAAAUUCUUAAUUUUUCCCCAAAUAAGUGAAAAGAAGAAGAAGAAGAAGAAGAAGAAGAUGAAGGAAUCAAACCGAGGAAGAGAAGACGAUGAUAUUCCUAGAUUUUGAGGUUUUAUUUUGUUUUUGAUGUGAAAUUAUGAUUUUAUCCUUGGAUUUAAUAGUGAUUUAACAGAAAAUGAAUCUGCCCUGAGGACUUAAGUGAUGGUGGAUGAUAUUUACACCUAUUUAUUAAAAAUAAAUAAAUUAAGUUAUUCUUUUUUUGAA
Humulus lupulus (European hop) is the source of this 640-nucleotide long non-coding RNA. RefSeq lists it as uncharacterized. The transcript has 2 exons. Lineage: Eukaryota; Viridiplantae; Streptophyta; Magnoliopsida; Rosales; Cannabaceae. The record is from RefSeq and is a predicted model, not a curated record.